Molecule: ribosomal RNA, 490 nt
Filed under: uncultured bacterium
Lineage: Bacteria
Description: partial 16S ribosomal RNA
Rfam family: Bacterial small subunit ribosomal RNA
Source: RNAcentral
AUUGAACGCUGGCGGCAGGCCUAACACAUGCAAGUCGAACGGUAACAGGAAGAAGCUUGCUUCUUUGCUGACGAGUGGCGGACGUGUGAGGAAUGUCUGGGAAACUGCCUGAUGGAGGGGGAUAACUACUGGAAACGGUAGCUAAUACCGCAUAACGUCGCAAGACCAAAAAGGGGGACCUUCGGGCCUCUUGCCAUCGGAUGUGCCCAGAUGGGAUUAGCUAGUAGGUGGGGUAACGGCUCACCUAGGCGACGAUCCCUAGCUGGUCUGAGAGGAUGACCAGCCACACUGGAACUGAGACACGGUCCAGACUCCUACGGGAGGCAGCAGUGGGGAAUAUUGCACAAUGGGCGCAAGCCUGAUGCAGCCAUGCCGCGUGUAUGAAGAAGGCCUUCGGGUUGUAAAGUACUUUCAGCGGGGAGGAAGGGAGUAAAGUUAAUACCUUUGCUCAUUGACGUUACCCGCAGAAGAAGCACCGGCUAACUCCGUG